This 1050-nucleotide long non-coding RNA is filed under the name Salmo salar (Atlantic salmon). Its description in RNAcentral is "lncRNA (ENSSSAG00000093573.1)". The record is from RNAcentral. Lineage: Eukaryota; Metazoa; Chordata; Actinopteri; Salmoniformes; Salmonidae.
UUUACACUCUUAAAUGCUUAAUGACGCUACGUAGCAUCGAACGCCUGGCAUUUACACUCUUAAAUGCUAAACAACGCUAACGUAGCAUCGUUAGCUACCCGGUUUUAUACACGCUAGAGAAAUGUACGUAGACGGUGAUUGAUUGAUUGUCUGUCCGCGCCAGAGCUGGCGUCCGGCGAGGACCCCGACGUCCCUCUGGUAGCCCAGGAACUGAUGAGGAGGAUGGUCCGGCAGUUUGCUGCGGAGUACGCCUCCAAGACGCGCCUCACCACCUCGACCGACACGGGCUCCCGGCGUCCGGACCUCGACACGCCUCUAGACCUCACUGUGACGCGGAACCAGGAGGAGGAACCCACACCAGCUGACACUGUGCUCGACCUCUCCAAGCGGAACUCUGCCAGCUCGGCCUCCACAUCACCCACCAAUCACAAAGCCUCAGGGUGAGUGUCUCUCCUCUCAUUGGUCCAUACUCCACAUCACCCACCAAUCACAAAGCCUCAGGGUGAGUGUCUCUCCUCUCAUUGGUCCAUACUCCACAUCACCCACCAUUCACAAAGCCUCAGGGUGAGUGUCUCUCCUCUCAUUGGUCCAUACUCCACAUCACCCACCAUUCACAAAGCCUCAGGGUGAGUGUCUCUCCUCUCAUUGGUCCAUACUCCACAUCGCCCACCAAUCACAAAGCCUCAGGGUGAGUGUCUCUCCUCUCAUUGGUCCAUACUCCACAUCGCCCACCAAUCACAAAGCCUCAGGGUGAGUGUCUCUCCUCUCAUUGGUCCAUACUUCACAUCACCCACCAAUCACAAAGCCUCAGGGUGAGGUGUCUCUCCUCUCAUUGGUCCAUACUCCACAUCGCCCACCUAUCACAAAGCCUCAGGGUGAGGUGUCUCUCCUCUCAUUGGUCCAAACUAGCACGCUACUUAGUAUGCAUAGCCAAUAGAGUAGUGGGGACAGUGUUAGGCGGUCUGUAUCAGUAGUCUGUCUAGGGGUGGGUGUAGUGGGGACAGUGUUAGGUGGUCUGUAUCAGUAGUCUGUCUAGGGGUGGGUGUAGUG